GGGGAGUACGUCGGCAACGAUGAAACUCAAAGGAAUUGACGGGGGCCCGCACAAGCGGAGGAACAUGUGGUUUAAUUCGAUGAUACGCGAGGAACCUUACCCGGGCUUGAACUGCGCCGGACUCACCCGGAAACGGGUGUUCCCUACGGGGUCGGCGCGGAGGUGCUGCAUGGUUGUCGUCAGCUCGUGCCGUGAGGUGUCGGGUCAAGUCCCAUAACGAGCGCAACCCUUGCCGCCAGUUGCCAUCAGUUCGGCUGGGCACUCUGGCGGGACUGCCGCCGUAAGGUGCGAGGAAGGCGGGGAUGACGUCAAAUCAGCACGGCCCUUACGCCCGGGGCUACACACGUGUUACAAUGGCCGGCACAGCGGGCAGCGACCUGGUGACAGGAAGCGAAUCUCGAAAGCCGGUCUUAGUUCGGAUUGGAGUCUGCAACCCGACUCCAUGAAGUUGGAUUCGCUAGUAAUCGCGCAUCAGCCAUGGCGCGGUGAAUACGUUCCCGGGCCUUGUACACACCGCCCGUCAAGCCAUGGGAGCNNNNNNNNNCUGAAGUCCGUAACCGCGAGGGGCGGCCUAGGGCAAAACUGGUAACGGGGGCUAAGUCGUAACAAGGUAACC
This 616-nucleotide ribosomal RNA is filed under the name uncultured bacterium. RNAcentral describes it as "bacterial SSU rRNA". It matches the Rfam family "Bacterial small subunit ribosomal RNA", at positions 875 to 1501 of the family's 1533-position model. The record is from RNAcentral.